RNAcentral lists this ribosomal RNA (253 nucleotides) under uncultured bacterium. RNAcentral describes it as "partial 16S ribosomal RNA". It matches the Rfam family "Bacterial small subunit ribosomal RNA", at positions 524 to 776 of the family's 1533-position model. The record is from RNAcentral.
UACGUAGGGGGCAAGCGUUGUCCGGAUUUAUUGGGCGUAAAGAGCGUGUAGGCGGCCAUACAGGUCAGCUGUGAAAACUCGAGGCUCAACCUCGAGACGUCGGUUGAAACCGUAUGGCUAGAGUCCGGAAGAGGAGAGUGGAAUUCCCGGUGUAGUGGUGGAAUGCGUAGAUAUCGGGAGGAACACCAGUGGCGAAGGCGGUUGCCUGGAGCUUUGCUGACGCUGAGGCGCGAAAGCGUGGGGAGCGAUCCGG